AGUUCUGCUGCCGCUCCAGCUCCAGCGCCUGAAUGGGGAAAUGGGAAAAUGGGAAAAUGGGAAAAUGGGAAAAUGGGAAAAUGGGAGUGACUGCUGCAAGUUCCGCUGCUGCUCCAACUCCAGCGCCUGGACGGGGGAAAACGGGAAAAAUGGGAAAAACGAGAAAAAUGGGGAAAUGGGAAAAACAGGAGCAGCUGCUGGAAGCUCUGCUGCCGCUCCACCUCCAGGGCCUGGACGGGGGAAAAAUGGGAAAAACGGGGGAAAUCCCCGUACCUGCUGGCACUGAUCCCAUUGAUCCCACAGAUCCCAUUGAUCCCACAGAUCCCAUAGAUCCCAUAGAUCCCAUGCCACCGUACCUGCUGGCACUGGCGGGCGCCGUCGCGCUGAUCCCAUUGAUCCCAUUGAUCCCAUUGAUCCCAUAGAUCCCGUGCCCCGUACCUGCUGGCACUGGCGGGUGCCGUCGCGCUGAUCCCAUUGAUCCCAUUGAUCCCAUUGAUCCCAUUUGAUCCCAUAGAUCCCAUAGAUCCCGUGCCCCGUACCUGCUGGCACUGGCGGGCGCCGUCGCGCUGAUCCCAUUGAUCCCAUUGAUCCCUGAUCCCAUUGAUCCCAUUGAUCCCAUAGAUCCCAUUUGAUCCCAUUGAUCCCAUAGAUCCCAUUGAUCCCAUAGAUCCCGUGCCCCGUACCUGCUGGCACUGGCGGGCGCCGUCGCGCUCGCGCUGCAGCCGCCGCAGCUCGGCGGGGUCGGGCCGGUGCCCCCCGGGCACGCGGUAGCCCUCGGGCCGGGG
Molecule: long non-coding RNA, 785 nt
Filed under: Lonchura striata (white-rumped munia)
Lineage: Eukaryota; Metazoa; Chordata; Aves; Passeriformes; Estrildidae
Description: domestica (Bengalese finch) lncRNA (ENSLSDG00000015792.1)
Source: RNAcentral